UGAGGAAUAUUGGUCAAUGGGCGCAAGCCUGAACCAGCCAUCCCGCGUGCAGGAAGACGGCGCUAUGCGUUGUAAACUGCUUUUCCAGGGGGAGAGACUUGCGCACGUGUUGCGCAAUUGACGGUACCCUGGGAAUAAGCAUCGGCUAACUCCGUGCCAGCAGCCGCGGUAAUACGGAGGAUGCAAGCGUUAUCCGGAUUCAUUGGGUUUAAAGGGUGCGUAGGCGGACUAUUAAGUCAGUGGUGAAAUCCUGCAGCUUAACUGCAGAACUGCCAUUGAUACUGAUAGCCUUGAGUUUGGUUAAGGUAGGUCGGAAUGUGUAAUGUAGCGGUGAAAUGCUUAGAUAUUACACAGAACACCAAUUGCGUAGGCAGCUUACUGAGCCGACACUGACGCUGAC
RNAcentral lists this ribosomal RNA (400 nucleotides) under uncultured bacterium. RNAcentral's name for it is "bacterial SSU rRNA". It matches the Rfam family "Bacterial small subunit ribosomal RNA", at positions 355 to 750 of the family's 1533-position model. The record is from RNAcentral.